CAUUUUUUAACUCAUCAAUCCUCACCUAUAACAAUUGAUUUUUCUCCUUAUAAUCAUGAAUAUGCUAUGCUAUUAUCUUCUUAUACCAUUUAUAUUGAAGAAAGGUAUAAGAAGAUAAUAGCAGAGCGUGUUAAGGAUUAUAAGGAGAAAACUAAUUUUUUAUAUGAGAGAAUUGAUGAGUUAAAGAAUGAGAAAAGUGAUAUACAGGAUUAUUAUAAGAAAAAAUUCAAUGAGUUAAUUAGUAGAGUUUCUCGUUUAGAAGAAGAAAUGGGGGAAAAUUAUUAGGUGGAGUUUAACUCAACUGACAAUUGUUAUGGUAAAUCAAGAAAUGAAGCUAUUGCAGUCAUGACAAUUGUUAUGUUGAUGGCCUAGGUGGACUAAUCUUAGGGAUUUGCUCUAGGGAUUGGUAACAUAAACUUGAAUCCAACCAAAAAAGGCUGCCCUGGUGACCAGAGUUUUCAGUAUGAGCUUAUUUUCUGCAUAUGUUAAAGUGGAUUACGACGAACAAAAGGAAAAUGAUCAUUCUGAAUAACAGGUUCGGAUGCUAAGGUUUCCAACCGUGCAUAGACAGAUUCAAUUUCAGCCAGCAGUAUCAGCUUUAGUUAUGAGUCCUUAUCUAUCGAGGAAAUUCUUUUAUUUCAUUAUUAUAGUAGAUUCAGUAUUUCAGUAGAUUAAGUUAAUUGGGGGAUUAUCCCAUCAACUCCACGUUCAGACAGUUCAGUGUAGAGGCUUUUCAGACUAGUUUUUAGACAACAUUCAAUUUUACUCAUGUUAUUCAGUUGAUAUAUUUUAUCAGUAUUUUAGAUGUUUUGAACCUUAUGGCAUUUAGCCUAUUAUUUUGCAU
Long non-coding RNA from Capsicum annuum, 844 nucleotides. RefSeq lists it as uncharacterized. The transcript is spliced from 3 exons. The record is from RefSeq and is a predicted model, not a curated record. Lineage: Eukaryota; Viridiplantae; Streptophyta; Magnoliopsida; Solanales; Solanaceae.